CAACAGGGAUUGCCCUAGUAACGGCGAGUGAAGCGGCAACAGCUCAAAUUUGAAAUCUGGCUCUUUUAGGGUCCGAGUUGUAAUUUGCAGAGGGCGCUUUGGCUUUGGCAGCGGUCCAAGUUCCUUGGAACAGGACGUCACAGAGGGUGAGAAUCCCGUACGUGGUCGCUAGCUAUUGCCGUGUAAAGCCCCUUCGACGAGUCGAGUUGUUUGGGAAUGCAGCUCUAAAUGGGAGGUAAAUUUCUUCUAAAGCUAAACAUUGGCCAGAGACCGAUAGCGCACAAGUAGAGUGAUCGAAAGAUGAAAAGCACUUUGGAAAGAGAGUCAAACAGCACGUGAAAUUGUUGAAAGGGAAGCGCUUGCAGCCAGACUUGCUUGCAGUUGCUCAUCCGGGCUUUUGCCCGGUGCACUCUUCUGCAGGCAGGCCAGCAUCAGUUUGGGCGGUGGGAUAAAGGUCUCUGACACGUUCCUUCCUUCGGGUUGGCCAUAUAGGGGAGACGUCAUACCACCAGCCUGGACUGAGGUCCGCGCAUCUGCUAGGAUGCUGGCGUAAUGGCUGUAAGCGGCCCGUCUUGAAACACGGACCAAGGAGUCUAACAUCUAUGCGAGUGUUUGGGUGUCAAGCCCGAGCGCGUAAUGAAAGUGAACGGAGGUGGGAACCCGCAAGGGCGCACCAUCGACCGAUCCUGAAGUUUACGGAAGGAUUUGAGUAAGAGCAUGGCUGUUGGGACCCGAAAGAUGGUGAACUAUGCUUGAAUAGGGUGAAGCCAGAGGAAACUCUGGUGGAGGCUCGCAGCGGUUCUGACGUGCAAAUCGAUCGUCAAAUUUGGGCAUAGGGGCGAAAGACUAAUCGAACU
Molecule: ribosomal RNA, 857 nt
Filed under: Curvularia ovariicola
Lineage: Eukaryota; Fungi; Ascomycota; Dothideomycetes; Pleosporales; Pleosporaceae
Description: eukaryotic LSU rRNA
Rfam family: Eukaryotic large subunit ribosomal RNA
Source: RNAcentral